Sporomusa sphaeroides DSM 2875 is the source of this 77-nucleotide non-coding RNA. Lineage: Bacteria; Bacillati; Bacillota; Negativicutes; Selenomonadales; Sporomusaceae. The record is from Rfam.
AACCGCCGUAUACGGAUCCGUACGUACGGUGGUGUGAGAAGUCGGCUACUCAACUAAUGCGUAGCCUCUUACUCGAU